RNAcentral lists this ribosomal RNA (102 nucleotides) under Neovespicula depressifrons (leaf goblinfish). RNAcentral describes it as "partial 16S rRNA". Lineage: Eukaryota; Metazoa; Chordata; Actinopteri; Perciformes; Tetrarogidae. The record is from RNAcentral.
AACCAAACAGCUAGCCUUAUAAAACAAUUACAACAAUUAACUAUUAAUAACCCCUAAAACACCACAAAAAUUCAAAUAAACCAUUUUUCCACCUUAGUAUUG